RNAcentral lists this ribosomal RNA (460 nucleotides) under uncultured bacterium. RNAcentral's name for it is "partial 16S ribosomal RNA". It matches the Rfam family "Bacterial small subunit ribosomal RNA", at positions 338 to 795 of the family's 1533-position model. The record is from RNAcentral.
CCUACGGGAGGCAGCAGUGAGGAAUAUUGGUCAAUGGACGAGAGUCUGAACCAGCCAAGUAGCGUGAAGGAUGACUGCCCUAUGGGUUGUAAACUUCUUUUAUAUGGGAAUAAAAUGUUCCACGUGUGGGUUUUUGUAUGUACUAUAUGAAUAAGGAUCGGCUAACUCCGUGCCAGCAGCCGCGGUAAUACGGAGGAUCCGAGCGUUAUCCGGAUUUAUUGGGUUUAAAGGGAGCGUAGGUGGGUUGUUAAGUCAGUGGUGAAAGUGUGCGGCUCAACCGGAAAAUUGCCGUUGAAACUGGCAGUCUUGAAUGCAGUAGAGGUGGGCGGAAUUCGUGGUGUAGCGGUGAAAUGCUUAGAUAUCACGAAGAACUCCGAUUGCGAAGGCAGCUCACUGGACUGCAACUGACACUGAGGCUCGAAAGUGUGGGUAUCAAACAGGAUUAGAUACCCGGGUAGUC